GCGAGAAAGAAAUUGGUCGCCAUCUUGGAUUAUGUACGUUGAUUUGUUUCUUUGAACAUUGGUUGAAGGUAACACUGAGUGGAAUUUCAUGAAGAAACACUUCCCUCUGCUGGGUGGAUGCCAGUGGAACUUUGCAAGACAGCUUUGGCCAGGAAGGAGCUUUCACAACUCAACUUGUGUGGCCACCCAAAAAGUGAGGCUGAUUCCAAAGUUUUGGAGCAACGCUGCACAGCUAGUCCUUGGGUUUCCAGAGGCUUGAGGAAAUGAGAAGAAGAAGAGGAAGAGAGAGAGCCUCACCGUCUCUACCUGCCUGACCUACCGCAGCGCAUCACGAGGCACAGAGGAAGGCUGAAAUCAGAGGGGAGGAGGAAGGAACGACUGAUGGGACGGGAUUGGUGGCGACAGGGGGUGGUACCAUGCUGGUUGCCCAUCAGCACAUCCUCGCUGACAGCCGAUGGCCUGUCCGUCAGCAGCCAAGCUGCACUCCCUCGCCAUCCCUUGUGUCCAAGUCCUGAGAGGGAAAGGAAAGCUGGUUGGGGAGAUGCAGUCAACAAGGUGGUAGGAAUUUUAAUGACUGGCUUUCUGCUGCCUUUCCCUCUCCCGUCGUUCUGGCACUCAAAUAAUGAUCUGGCAGACUUUGAUGUUUGGCACCUUCUUUCCUUCCCUCAAAAGAGUGGUGGACAGAAUAAAAGGCAUGUCCACCACACAUCCCUGCCCACU
Etheostoma spectabile (orangethroat darter) is the source of this 720-nucleotide long non-coding RNA. RefSeq lists it as uncharacterized. NCBI's taxonomy places the organism in Eukaryota, Metazoa, Chordata, Actinopteri, Perciformes, Percidae. The transcript is spliced from 5 exons. The record is from RefSeq and is a predicted model, not a curated record.